GCUCAGACAGCCAGGAUGUUGGCUUAGAAGCAGCCAUCAUUUAAAGAAAGCGUAAUAGCUCACUGGUCGAGUCGGCCUGCGCGGAAGAUUUAACGGGGCUAAGCUAUACACCGAAGCUGCGGCAAUGAAGUUUACUUCAUUGGGUAGGGGAGCGUUCUGUAAGCCGUUGAAGGUGAAUCGUAAGGUUUGCUGGAGGUAUCAGAAGUGCGAAUGCUGACAUGAGUAACGAUAAAGGGAGUGAAAAACUCCCUCGCCGGAAGAUCAAGGGUUCCUGUCCAACGUUAAUCGGGGCAGGGUAAGUCGACCCCUAAGGCGAGGCCGAAAGGCGUAGUCGAUGGGAAACGGGUUAAUAUUCCCGUACUUCUUAUAAUUGCGAUGGAGGGACGGAGAAGGCUAGGUGAGCCUGGCGACGGUUGUCCAGGUCCAAGUAUGUAGGCUGAUGGUUUAGGCAAAUCCGGACCAUCUUAAGGCUGAGAUACGAUGUCGAGUCACUACGGUGACGAAGUCAUUGAUGCCAUGCUUCCGGGAAAAGCUUCUAAGCUUCAGAUUAUAAGAAAUCGUACCCCAAACCGACACAGGUGAUCAGGUAGAGAAUACCAAGGCGCUUGAGAGAACUCGGGUGAAGG
RNAcentral lists this ribosomal RNA (626 nucleotides) under Photobacterium angustum. RNAcentral's name for it is "bacterial LSU rRNA". It matches the Rfam family "Bacterial large subunit ribosomal RNA", at positions 1083 to 1710 of the family's 2925-position model. The record is from RNAcentral. Lineage: Bacteria; Pseudomonadati; Pseudomonadota; Gammaproteobacteria; Vibrionales; Vibrionaceae.